AAAAAAAGGUUAAUCUUAAGCAUCGGUGUCCAAAAAUGGCUUAAAGCCGAAAACCAUUUGAUGAUAAGCCAUGGUGAGUGAAUAACUCAACUUUCCAAAUAACAAAAUCACUUCUUCCCUAAAUAAUCUCUACUAACAAACACACGAAUUUUACUUGGGGAUUUGCGAGAAUGAAGAUGACGAUGACGAUGACGAUGAAGCUCAAGUUUACUCCUAAAGCUUUUGCUGCCUUCUUUCAUGGUGGUACUACUCUUAUUACUCCUUUUCCUUCUUUUCAUUUUCAUUCACGCUAUUAUUAUUCCACUGCAUCUGAUGUUUUUAUUCAAGAUCGUCAAUUGUUUAUCCAAUCAGUUAGAGAACACUGCAAAUUAGGGUUUUCAAAUCUCAAUUUCCCCCUUUCUCUCUUCCAUCAAAUGCUCUCUUUGCGCCCUCUUCCUUCUAUCAUCGUUUUCACUCAACUCUUCACUGCCAUGUCUAAAUUGAAGCGUCUUCACCCUCACUCCACCAUUAUCUCUCUCAUCAGAGACCUUGAAUUCUCUGGUGUUCGACCCAAUUGGUAUUCAUUGGGUAUUCUCACCAAUUGUUACUGCCAUUUGGGCCGUGUUGAUUUCGGCUUCUCUCUUCUCGCCAAAAGACUUAAGCUUGGUUACCCCUUUGAUGGUGAUUGUGUUAUCUUUACUACUUUAAUCAAUGGCUUUAUCCACUGUGAUAAGCUUUCUCAAGCUCUUCAAUUGCUAGAUGAAAUUGUUAAGCUAGGUUUCCAACCAAACAUUGUUACCUAUGGUGCUAUUUUCAAAGGCCUUUGUCGGAUUGGUGACAAUGCUGCUGCCCUCCACUUGCUUAAGAGGAUGCAUUCUGGUUGUUGCAAACCUAACCUUGUUAUAUAUAACACCAUUAUUGAUAGUCUUUGUAAGGAUAGGCUGUUGAAAGAGGCCCUCGACUUGUUCACUGCCAUGAAAAGUGAGGGCAUUAUACCUAAUGUUGUCACUUAUACCUCCUUAAUUAGAGGUCUCUACAACUCCGGCUCCAAGGUCGAGGCUAAAGAUAUGCUAGCUCAGAUGUUGGAGUGUGACAUAGCGCCAGAUGUUACCACCUUCAGCAUGCUUGUUGACAUGUUUUGCAAAGAUGGUAAUGUUGAUGAAGCGCAAGCUAUUCUAGACUACAUGAUUGAGAGAGGUGAGAUUUCAGAUGUCAUAACUUACAAUGCUUUACUUGAUGGUUAUUGUUUGCGUGGUCAGAUGGAGGAUGCGGAAAAACUACUUGAUCUCAUGGCUCAAAAUGGGUGUGAGCCUGAUAUUGUAAGUUUCAACACUAUGAUUAAUGGAUAUUGCAAGGCCAGAAACAUUGACAAGGCACUUAAUUUAUUCCAAGAAAUACUUGAGAAAGUGAUCACACCUGAUGUUGUUACCUAUAGCACUCUUAUUGAUGGACUAUGCAAAGUCAAUAGACUCCCACUUGCAAGUAAACUGUUCAAGGAUAUGCAAGGCCAUGGAGUUACUCCUGAUGUUGUCACAUAUGCUUCAUUGCUUGAUAGCUUAUGCAAAAAUGCUUUACUUGAUGAGGCAGUGACAUUACUUGAAGAAAUGGAGAAUAAUGGCGUUAAGCCUACUGUUGUCAUAUACGGUAUCUUAAUGGACAGCUUGUGUGAGGCUGGAAAACUUGAAGAUGCAGCAAAAAUUUUCUCGGAUCUUGUAUUGAGAAGGCUAGAACCUAAUGUUAAAAUAUACACAAUUUUGAUGAAAGGCUUCUGCAAGAAAGGCCUUAUGGAUGAAGCUAAUCAACUGUUGAGGAAAAUGGGGAAUGAUGGUUGCUCUCCUGAUGAUUUAACCUAUAAUACAAUUAUUAGAGGCCUAUACAACUCUCAUUGAUGCAUUGUGCAACGCCAGAUGUUCAAGGAAAUGCGAGUUCAAGGAGUUAUUCCAAAUGUUGUCACAUAUGCUUCAAUGCUUGAUGGCCUAUGCAAACAUAUGCUGCUUGAUGAGGCAGUGGCGUUACUUGAAGAAAUGGAGGAUAAUAAUGUUAAGCCUAAUGUUUUCAUCUACAAUAUCCUACUGGACAGUUUGUGUGAAGCUGGGCAUCUUGAAGAUGGAGCAAAAUUCUUCUCUGAUCUUGUAUUGAAAGGUCUCCGACCAAAUUGUAAAACAUAUACUAUACUGAUAAAAGGAAUGUGUAAGAAAGGGAUCAUGGAUGAAGCUAUCUGAUCGUUGAGGAAAAUAGAGGAAGACAAUUGCUCCCCUGAUGAUCGUACUUAUAAUACAAUUAUCAGAGGAUAUAUUCUCAACAAUGACUUACCAAACACAUUUAUACUAUCGUGAUCGUAUGGUUAGCAAGGGAUUUGAAAUUGAUGCUAAUACUGUCUCUUUAAUUGGUGGCCUCUUGUCUUCUAAGAACUUAAGUGACUCAUCAAAGGAUCUGUUUCAGAAGUUUAUAACCUGAAUUAACGUUCUGACAGUCCUAAUUUCGGAAAGACUCAGAUGACUUUUUAUCUAGUUUUUCCAUAUUGUCCUUCUAAGGGUGUCUUAAGUAGUAGUAUUAUUGUUGGUUGAAGCAUAUUUGCAAAUCAAUGAUACCUUGAUGCUA
Molecule: RNA transcript, 2580 nt
Organism: Beta vulgaris subsp. vulgaris (sugar beet)
Lineage: Eukaryota; Viridiplantae; Streptophyta; Magnoliopsida; Caryophyllales; Amaranthaceae
Gene name: putative pentatricopeptide repeat-containing protein At1g12700, mitochondrial
Exons: 2
Source: RefSeq, a predicted model, not a curated record